Molecule: ribosomal RNA, 2087 nt
Filed under: metagenome
Description: bacterial LSU rRNA
Rfam family: Bacterial large subunit ribosomal RNA
Source: RNAcentral
GCCAGAGAGGGUGAAAGCCCCGUAAGCGAAAGACGAGUUGACAUGGCGGGAUCCAGAGUACCACGAGACACGUGGAACCUUGUGGGAAUAUGCGGGGACCACCCCGUAAGGCUAAAUACUACUUAGUGACCGAUAGCGCAUAGUACUGUGAAGGAAAGGUGAAAAGGACCCCGGGAGGGGAGUGAAAAAGAACCUGAAACCAUAUGUUUACAAGCUGUGGAAGAGCUUUAUAUGCUCAACCGCGUACUUUUUGUAGAACGGUCCGGCGAGUUACGCUGGCUGGCGAGGUUAAGCACUGAAGGUGUGGAGCCGAAGGGAAACCAAGUCUGAAUAGGGCGAAGAGUCAGUCGGAGUAGACCCGAAACCGGGUGAUCUAUCCAUGUCCAGGUUGAAGUUGCCGUAAAAGGCAAUGGAGGACCGAACCCACAUCCGUUGAAAAGGGUGGGGAUGAGGUGUGGAUAGGGGAGAAAUUCCAAUCGAACCCGGAGAUAGCUGGUUCUCCUCGAAAUAGCUUUAGGGCUAGCCUCAUACGAGUCUUGCGGAGGUAGAGCACUGAAUUCCUAAGGGGGCGUCAAAGCUUACUAAGGGAUAUCAAACUCCGAAUGCCGUGUAGAUGAUGUAUGGGAGUCAGACGAUCCGAGAUAAGUUGGGUGGUCAAAAGGGAAAGAGCCCAGACCAACAGCUAAGGCCCCAAAAUGUGUGUUAAGUGGAAAAGGAUGUGGGAUUUCGAAGACAACUAGGAUGUUGGCUCAGAAGCAGCCAUCCAUUCAAAGAGUGCGUAAUAGCUCACUAGUCGAGAGGUCCUGCGCCGAAAAUGUCCGGGGCUGAAACACACUGCCGAAGCUUUGGAAUUGAAUUAGUUCAAUUGGUAGAGGAGCAUUCUUAAAGAGACGAAGCAGUACCGGAAGGAGCUGUGGAUUUUUAAGAAGAGAGAAUGCCGGAAUGAGUAGCGAGAGGAAGGUGGGAAUCCUUCCGGCCGAAUAUCUAAGGUUUCCAGAGUAAAGCUGAUCUGCUCUGGGUAAGUCGGGGCCUAAGGCGAGGUCGAAAGACGUAGUCGAUGGAUAACAGGUUGAAAUUCCUGUACUAUCCUGUAACAGAACUGUGGGGACACAGGCAGAGAGCGUGAGCCGGGAAUGGAAAGACCGGUACAAGCGAGGUAGGAGUUCAGUUGGCAAAUCCGCUGAACAAUCUGAAGACGUGAUGUGGACCGAAAAGAAGUAGGGAAGCACGUGAGCUGACUGUCAAGAAAAGCCGCUAUUGUUUGCAGGAUACCCGUACCGUAAACCGACACAGGUGGAUGAGGAGAGAAUCCUAAGGCCGACGGGAGAAGCAUUGUUAAGGAACUCGGCAAAAUGACUCCGUAACUUCGGGAGAAGGAGUGCCAGUAAGAUGGCCGCAGAGAAUUGGCCCAAGCAACUGUUUAGCAAAAACACAGGUCUAUGCAAAACCGAAAGGUGAGGUAUAUGGGCUGACGCCUGCCCGGUGCUGGAAGGUUAAGGGGAGAGGUUAGCGCAAGCGAAGCUUUGAACUUAAGCCCCAGUAAACGGCGGCCGUAACUAUAACGGUCCUAAGGUAGCGAAAUUCCUUGUCGGGUAAGUUCCGACCCGCACGAAAGGCGUAAUGAUUUGGGCACUGUCUCAACAAUGCACCCGGUGAAAUUGAAAUACCAGUGAAGAUGCUGGUUACCUGCGCCAGGACGGAAAGACCCCAUGGAGCUUUACUCCAGCUUGAUACUGGGAUUCGGUAUUGUAUGUACAGGAUAGGUGGGAGGCUUAGAAGUGGUUACGCCAGUAGCCAUGGAGCCGCUGUUGGGAUACCACCCUUGCAGUACUGGGUUUCUAACCAGCAGCCGUGACCCGGCUGGGGGACAAUGUCAGGUGGGGAGUUUGACUGGGGCGGUCGCCUCCGAAAGGGUAUCGGAGGCGCUCAAAGGUUCCCUCAGAAUGGUUGGAAACCAUUCGAAGAGUGCAAAGGCAGAAGGGAGCUUGACUGCGACACCGACGGGUGGAGCAGGUACGAAAGUAGGACUUAGUGAUCCGGUGGUAUAAAGUGGGAUUGCCAUCGCUCAACGGAUAAAAGCUACCCUG